GGUCUGUUAGCUUAGUUGGUAGAGCGUGGUACUAAUAAUGCCAAGGUCAUGGGUUCGAGCCCCAUACGGACCA
This 73-nucleotide transfer RNA is filed under the name Melampsora larici-populina 98AG31. RNAcentral's name for it is "tRNA-Ile (AAT) (tRNA-Ile-AAT-2-1)". It matches the Rfam family "tRNA". Rfam says of the family: Transfer RNA (tRNA) molecules are approximately 80 nucleotides in length. Their secondary structure includes four short double-helical elements and three loops (D, anti-codon, and T loops). Lineage: Eukaryota; Fungi; Basidiomycota; Pucciniomycetes; Pucciniales; Melampsoraceae. The record is from RNAcentral.